UAUAGUAGGUCCUUACUUUCAAUAUUUUAGCUCAAGUUCUAUAUUCUUUAACCAGUCUAGAUUAGCAACUUAUACUAAGCAAGCAUAGUUUCCAAGCAAUUAAAGAACAAGCAUCAAGAUUAAUAUCAUCAUCAUGUUCCAUCUUUACUCAGUGCAGAAUAGCGAUCAAGCAGUCCCAAACUGUGAGAGGCAGACGAAUCGAUUCGAAUUUAUUAACCAUGCAUGGCG
RNAcentral lists this long non-coding RNA (228 nucleotides) under Setaria italica (foxtail millet). RNAcentral's name for it is "long non-coding RNA (SITA_LNC003016)". The record is from RNAcentral. Lineage: Eukaryota; Viridiplantae; Streptophyta; Magnoliopsida; Poales; Poaceae.